Molecule: long non-coding RNA, 1092 nt
Filed under: Sus scrofa (pig)
Lineage: Eukaryota; Metazoa; Chordata; Mammalia; Artiodactyla; Suidae
Description: lncRNA (ENSSSCG00015073625.1)
Source: RNAcentral
UUCUGUUCUUAUUGCUGUUUUUAACUCUAUUUUAUUUUUUGCUUUUCUCAAGGGCCGCACCAGCGGCACAGCACAUGGAGGUUCCCAGGCCAGGGGUCGAAUGGGCGCCACAGCCGCUGGUCUACACCACAGCUCACUGCAACGCUGGAUCCUUAGCCCACUGAGCGAGGCCAGGAAUUGAACCCACGUCCUCAAGGAUACCAGUCGGCUUCAUUUCCCCUAUGCCACAACAGGAAUUCCUAACUCCCAUUUUAAAGGAAAACGCUGCCCUCAGCUCUUGUCCAGACCGCCUGGUGCCCACUGGUGCCCCCGACAGGCAGGUUUAGGAGUGGAACUGCUGGGUCACUGGGUAAACAGAUUUGUCUUUAAGCGGUGGGGGGAGCGAGGUCAGGGCACCCCCAGCAGGCACAGCAGCCCAGAGACAGGCAGCCAGCUUCACUGUGUCCUCCACUGGCCCCGCAGCACUGUGGCUCCUGUGGGGGCUGUCAACACGAGGCUGAGAGCCACAGGCAGCUGGGAGACUCACACGGAGUUUCUGGGCGUCGGGAAGACACCCCUGGUUCCACGAGGCUGAGCCCACACUCGCGGCGCGAUAGGAGGAGUCUCGGAGCACUGCAUCUGGUUUCGGGUUUUAUUUUAGAAUGUAUAAAAUUCCAGUGUCACCCGUAUUCAUGAGCCUUUACACAUGUUUGCAUAUUAUCUCCAAAUUCCAAAGUUAAGGCCAAGGGAUGGAUCGCAGCUAUGGACACAGACGACGUGGAAGACAUUCGACAGGGAGGGAACGGACACGCACGCCGGUCCCGCCAGGGCCCUGCCCGCAGCGGCGGAGGCCGCAGGAGACAGGCCCCGGGCACAGUCAUCUCGGGAUGCUUAACGACACCCAGCGACGGUGAGCGGGACCCCAAACGGCUCAGGAAGGGGAGCCUGCGUUUAUGACAUUUAGCAAUAAGUGCACAUGUGCAAAACCUAUUGUGAGAAUUAAACAUUUCCCUUGGGCAGCGGGCAGGGCUGGAUGCUGCAGAAGAGACAGAGGGAGGAGCAGGUGUGGGCAGGCGCAGGGAAGGCUCGGGACUCGUGCACGAGGAAGAGGGC